Pimephales promelas (fathead minnow) is the source of this 1538-nucleotide non-coding RNA. The record is from RefSeq and is a predicted model, not a curated record. NCBI's taxonomy places the organism in Eukaryota, Metazoa, Chordata, Actinopteri, Cypriniformes, Leuciscidae.
AUCCCACAUAGCAUUUAUGCCAUUAUAAAUAUCUCAAUAAAAGUGCAACUUUAGCCUGCUAGCAUUGAAAGCAUACGAUCCCACCUUCCCUGCAAAUCGCAGUCCAAAGCCACGCCUCCUCCAAAGCACAUGAACGUGUGCACAAUAGUUGUUGAUUCAAAGAAAAGUUAGAUUGUUGAUGUUUGCCUGCUAAUCUCACUCUGUCUGCACAGCGUACAUAUGCAUAAUUAAUGUGCUGAUGAUGAAUGAUGUCUGUGUGUACAGUUUGUUCUGUGGUAUGCAACACAUUGACUGACACGGAACACAUGAGAUCAUUUCAGGACAUAAUGUGAUGACUGAACAAACAUUUUAUGGUCCUACGCCUUCCACAGAUGAUAUUUAUUUAUAAAAAUAAAUUUAGACCACUUAAUAUAGUGAUUGCUAUCAGGUGUGCUAUAAAAACAAACGUUGACUUGACUUAAUUUGAUAUUUUCUUCAAGUAAAGAUUUGAAUAUUUGAAGCACAUAACAACUGCACAUUCAAUACAAUUAAGCACAUUUCUUUUUCACAACGGUAGAAACCUAGAAAUAGUGUCAUAACAGUUCUCAUAAUAAAAAAAAAACUACUUUACUUACAGAUACAUUUGUGAUUUCAACAUUGUCUCUGACAUUUAAAUUCCACUGCACAAAUGAAGUAAGAGUAUUCCAUUGCUCGGAACAAGUCUGAUGAUGUUUUGUUCUCUUCAGGGUGAACUUGGCCUUCCUAGACCGUCUGGGGCGUCAGGAGGUGAGUCGCUCAGAUAGGGUGUCUGAACCCGUGACCCAAACCCCUGAAAACAGAAAUGUCGGGCUGGAUGAUGCUGACGAACCACAGGAUACAGCCUUCUCCCCUGUACCCAACCCAUCAUGGGUCCACACAGACAGUGCAGAGGAGGAUGAUCGUGACCAUAUGUGGACCCUGAUGAAACUUCAGAAUGACUUUCCAUACUACGAGCGAGAAAUGCUGGAAGACAUCGUCAAACAGUGUAAUGGCAAUUACAAUCACGCAUAUGAGCUGCUAAAUGUUUAAAAAAAAUAUAUGUAUACACGUUUUGUUGUUGUGAUGCUGAAUGAUAGCUGAAAAUUCUGCCGUUAUUUACUCGCUCAUUUGUGAGUAAAUUAUGAUUUUUGUGUGAACUGUCCAUUUAAUUAUUGAAUGCGGUGAGCUUAAGCAAAACAUUCUAGUGUCCUUUGAACUGAAACAAAAACGUAUUUUUUAGGUUGUGCAGUUAUUUUUGUUCUGACACAAAAUGGAUUGACACAACCACAGAGAAAAGAAAUCAAAACAAUAAAUCAAGAUUUGAGUCUGCUGUGGGAACGUUUAUGGGUCCCAUGAGUACUAUUCACAGACUAAAUGAUGUAAAUGAUGUGCAUUCACAAAAUCCAGAGGCUGAUUUAUAAUGAGGUAAAGGACUAGAGGAAUUCUGAACUCAUCCACAAUAGGGAAGGACAGUGAAAAACCAAACCAUCAUACAGAUCAUUAGCUUCCUAAAUGCUAUAUAGGCUCCUGCUAGAACUCUG